This 372-nucleotide ribosomal RNA is filed under the name uncultured organism. RNAcentral's name for it is "bacterial SSU rRNA". It matches the Rfam family "Bacterial small subunit ribosomal RNA", at positions 526 to 896 of the family's 1533-position model. The record is from RNAcentral.
CGGAGGGUGCGAGCGUUGUUCGGAAUCACUGGGCGUAAAGCGCGUGUAGGCGGCCCACUAAGUCUGAUGUGAAAGCCCGGGGCUCACCCCCGGAAGUGCAUUGGAAACUGGUGGACUCGAGUCCCGGAGAGGAGAGUGGAAUUCCUGGUGUAGCGGUGAAAUGCGUAGAUAUCAGGAGGAACACCGGUGGCGAAGGCGGCUCUCUGGACGGUGACUGACGCUGAGACGCGAAAGCGUGGGGAGCAAACAGGAUUAGAUACCCUGGUAGUCCACGCCGUAAACGAUGAGCACUAGGUGUCGCGGGUAUUGACCCCUGCGGUGCCGACGCCAACGCAUUAAGUGCUCCGCCUGGGGAAUACGGCCGCAAGGUUA